UUUUCUUAUAUAUAAAUGUAAUUAUAUAUUUAUUUUGAUAUGUUUAGAUGCUUGCCCUUUCUCUAGUUCAUUUUCCUGACACCUGUUCAUUGUCUGGCGAAGUGAAUGCGAUCAACACUGCAGUUGCAAAGUGCUUAAUAUUGUACUUCAAUGAACUGAACCUGGACGGAAUACUUGGCAGAUGUUUGAGAUGUUUAAUGAAUGGCUCAGUUAUGCAGAGCAUGCGACUACAUGGACCACAUGGCGUUGUGCAAGGCAGUAGCUCUGCUGGUGAUUAUGAAUUCCCAUGGAAGAUGCAGCUUUUUCACAGCCUAGAAAGAAUAGAAAUGCAUCAUUCUUACAGUUUGACUUAACCCUUAUUAUGUUGUUCUCAGUAAAUCGAUCAUUCACUGCCCUGUUACUCACAUUUGAUGCUUGGCAAGUUUUAAUAUUUGGUUGCAGUUGUUCAGCUGCCUAAUUCUACAUGCACUUUAUAUUCCCCAUUGUAGAAGCACUGAUGUGUGACACUGUAAGGAUGCCAGAAAAGCACUAUGUCUGUCUUUUUGAAUUAGGAAUAAAGGAAUGGAUCUGAAUUGACUCUAAUGUGGUGGUUUGUCACUAAACAGUUUGGGAGUUGGAGAGCAUGUGGGCCGUAGUCCCACUGCAAUACAUGAAGAGCAUUACAGCACAAGCCUCAGCACUCUCUCAUCCUAUCCUGUAUAAUAUGCUUCCUUUUCAUAAAUGUAUGCAUCUGAAAAAUUGUUUCUGAAAAAAGGAUUUUUUUCCCAUACAUGUCCUUUUUGGGCAAGUUAACAGAAAUAUAAAAACAUUCUUGUAGCUCAAACAAUGGAGCAUAGUGCUAGCAAAGCCAAAUUCAUGGGUUUGAUUCCCAGGGCAUGCAAGAACAGUCAAAAUGUAUACCUUGAAUUUAAGUCACUUUGGAUAAAACCGUCUGGCGAAUGCGUAAAUGUAAAAGGCAGAUUAAAUGACGGUAAAUUAAUGACGGAUUUCCAACUCACCACAUACAAUGUAAAAUAACCUUUCAACAACAUUUGAAAUCUGUAAUGGUGUUUACAGUCUCUCACUAUACUUAAAUUGACUAAAAAUAAACUUAUACCC
Molecule: long non-coding RNA, 1098 nt
Organism: Megalobrama amblycephala (Wuchang bream)
Lineage: Eukaryota; Metazoa; Chordata; Actinopteri; Cypriniformes; Xenocyprididae
Exons: 3
Source: RefSeq, a predicted model, not a curated record